UCCUACGGGAGGCAGCAGUAGGGAAUAUUGGGCAAUGGGCGAAAGCCUGACCCAGCAACGCCGCGUGUGUGAUGAAGGCCUUCGGGUCGUAAAUCACUUUUCUGGGAGAUGAGAAAGGACAGUAUCCCAGGAAUAAGUCUCGGCUAACUACGUGCCAGCAGCCGCGGUAAU
This 171-nucleotide ribosomal RNA is filed under the name uncultured bacterium. RNAcentral describes it as "partial 16S ribosomal RNA". It matches the Rfam family "Bacterial small subunit ribosomal RNA", at positions 337 to 524 of the family's 1533-position model. The record is from RNAcentral.